This 483-nucleotide ribosomal RNA is filed under the name Triticum aestivum (bread wheat). RNAcentral's name for it is "partial small subunit ribosomal RNA". Lineage: Eukaryota; Viridiplantae; Streptophyta; Magnoliopsida; Poales; Poaceae. The record is from RNAcentral.
AUGCCGCCGGCGUCGCAGCCGUACUUCUCGAAGUCACACCGCACCAUGACGGAGGCCACGAAGGCGUCAAGAAAGGCUAAGUGGACAACUGUGAGGCCGCAGGGUUCUUCUCCAUGGAGUUCGCGGCAGGACGAGCACACCAGAUGGUCGGCGUCACACUGGCGUCAAGAUUCAGUUGAGAUAGCAGGAUCCAGAUAUGAUAUGCAAAGACGAUUAAUUGAUGAAAGAAACUUUCGAUCCAUGGCGAUUCAUACCUUGAAGAUGGGAGAUUUGAGGGGGAGGCGGCAGGUAUGGCAGCUCAGCAGCGCCGUGGACAUGCUAAAGCUGAGGACCUGCUGCGAUUCCGUCUCCGUGGCAGUGGCUACCACCGCAAGAGCUCGCUCUCCUCCGCCAUGGCUUAUGUUUUUCUCCUUUGAGAAUGACGGCGCGGGGGGAGUGGUGGAUGGAUGUGAUUCUAGGGCUGAAAGCAUCGGCAAUAUAUAG